RNAcentral lists this long non-coding RNA (789 nucleotides) under Apteryx owenii (little spotted kiwi). RNAcentral describes it as "lncRNA (ENSAOWG00000009754.1)". Lineage: Eukaryota; Metazoa; Chordata; Aves; Apterygiformes; Apterygidae. The record is from RNAcentral.
CUGGCUUCCGAUUGGCUGCCCGCGCGGUCCCGCCAGCCUAUAGGAGCGGCGGCGGCCGUUGCGGCGGGGCUGCUGAGCGCGCUGGCAGCUCCGGGCAGAACAUAGCGGGCGGAGUUGAAGCGACCGCCCGAGUGGCCGCUGGAGGGGUGACUCACCCGUUAUGUGAGGAGAGGUGUGCGCACCACGCACGGCGCUUUUUAGGCAGAACGGGGCAGUGAACCUGCUUUUCCUUGGGUUCCAUGAGGAUUAGGCAUCAGAGAGAUGUGAGUCCAAGUUUACUGAAGAAGAAAAGAGAGCCAUCCGAGUUGGAAGCAGAUGCCAUAGAGAUCCGAUCUAAACUGACUGGGGAAAAGAACAUGAGUGACUUAAUUCACACAGACAAGGGAAUAAAACAUGAAUUAACUAAGACAGUGAAGUCCAACAGUGAUAGCAAAACAAUCCUUCCUCAUGUCCUCAUUUCCCAAGCAGUUUCAUCAUCAAAACGAUGAGUAGUUCUCACAGCUGGGAUCCUGUGCUGCCAUGUGCUGUCACAAACAUGUUUCUCUGAAAGUUUUAAAACAACACUUCAGGCUUGCUUAUCCACUCACGCUAAAUUCCAAUAUGUAGGGGAAGAAAGGUAUUAAAUACAGAACAAAAUUACCAAUGCUAUAAAGUACUCUUUCUCACUGUGCCAAUGUUUUCUUUGACCUUUCUGAUGGUGUUAUGAUGUCACUGCUCUGCAGCUUUGGCCUAUUUUCUGCCUAGCCUACACUGGGCUAGAUUUGAUGGAAAUAAACAUCUUACAUAACA